UUACCCUUCAUUUUUCUUCUUUUCUUUUUCUCUUCUUCUCAUUUUUCACUCUCUUGAUCCGAGUCUCACACCAAGGUCACAAUAAGGUAUUCCUCUGCCAUAAGUGAGGUUUUUCAAUAAAUUUGGGAGGAAGUCACUCGUGGA
Long non-coding RNA from Humulus lupulus (European hop), 144 nucleotides. RefSeq lists it as uncharacterized. The record is from RefSeq and is a predicted model, not a curated record. NCBI's taxonomy places the organism in Eukaryota, Viridiplantae, Streptophyta, Magnoliopsida, Rosales, Cannabaceae. The transcript has 2 exons.